Molecule: ribosomal RNA, 468 nt
Filed under: uncultured bacterium
Lineage: Bacteria
Description: partial 16S ribosomal RNA
Rfam family: Bacterial small subunit ribosomal RNA
Source: RNAcentral
GACGAACGCUGGCGGCGUGCUUAACACAUGCAAGUCGAACGGAAGGACCCUGCUUUUGUGGGGUGCUCGAGUGGCGAACGGGGGAGUAACACGUGAGUAACCUGCCCUUGACUUUGGGAUAACUUUAGGAAACUGGGGCGAAUACCGGAUAGGAGCUCCUGCUGCAUGGUGGUGGAUGGAAAGUUUCGGCUGUUGGGGAUAUACUCGCGGGUUAUCAGCUUGUUGGUGGGGUAGGGACUUACCAAGGCUUAGACGGGUAGCCGGCCUGGGAGGGUGACCGGCGACAUGAGGACUGCGAUACGGCGCAGACGCGUAUGGUAGGCAGUAGUGGGGAGUAUUGCGCAAUGGGCGGGAGCGUGAUGUAGCGACGCCGCGUGCGGAAUAACGGCCUUCGGGUGGUGAACAGCUUUCGACUGUGACGAGGAGUGCGUGACGGUAAUGGGUCAAGAAGCACCGGCUAACUACGUG